RNAcentral lists this long non-coding RNA (1072 nucleotides) under Phoenix dactylifera (date palm). Its description in RNAcentral is "long non-coding RNA (PDAC_LNC006283)". The record is from RNAcentral. Lineage: Eukaryota; Viridiplantae; Streptophyta; Magnoliopsida; Arecales; Arecaceae.
AUAAAGUCAUUUAUUUAAACAAGAUACAUGGGAAAUUAACUAAACCCUAAAUUUCUCUCCGCCUAGCCCAUGAAUCUCGUCCAACUACUCGGUAUAUGAAAAAAAUCAAAGAUAAAUGAGCUAAAGUUCAAUAAGUCACCUUUUAUCUCUAAUUGGAUCAAGCAUAUGAUAUACGAGAAAUAUUAACUGUUUUUAUGGUAUAAAAACAAGGUUCGCCGUCUUCGUACUGAACCUCGUACUGGUAUCAUCCUAUUAUAAUGUCGAUAUGUGGUAUGGUACGAAAUGACGAUGCAUAUGCAUACCGAGUGUUGGUAUGGUAUGAGAUUGCGAACUGGUUCGGUACUGGUACGGUACGGUAUGUUCGGUAUGGUACGAUACAUCCAGUAUAAUAUGAUACAUCCGGUACGGUAUGAUAUUGACAAGUACAACAAACCUUGAAUAAAAAUUUUUAAUUGUUAAUAAAACAUCUUGUCAACAGAAUAAAAUUUAAAAGAAAUAUGCAUACCAACACAAUUUUUAAAGUACUCAAUGCGUCUGAUCAAGGAAAAGAUAUCUAAAUAAAAGAGGUAAAAUCCACCUGCUCUCACUUAGCCUAUGCGGCUACGACCACAAUCAGCCUCGUGAUAAGGUCCAAGAGAGACUAGUUCCUGAACAUAAAACAUGCUCUCAAUCAGCAAGUACCAGUGAUCAGGCCCAACUAGUUAGGCCCGAAAGGAGACUAGCUUUGAGUCACAUGGAAAACAUGGACAUGAUAGCAUGUGCUACUGAUCGGUCCUGCAUGGCUAGGCUCGAAACGAAACUAGCUCUUGAAUCAUCGUAUAGCCAAUGAUUGGCCCUGUUGGCUAGGCUUGAAUUAUAGUUAGACUAGAGAGCGAUCCAUACAAUAUCCAUAGUCUAGUAACAUAACCAAUCCAAAAGCUAUGGUUUUUGCAAACAAUAAUUAAUCAACCAUUUCGUACGGUAUAGUCAUGUCAAAAUAUAUCAACACAAAUUUUGAUUCAGUAUAAUUCAAUGUCAAGCUCAAGUUGGCCUUUUAUACUUGAUCCAUAACCUUUAAAAUUAAUUUUCAUGC